CAACUAGCCAACUUUUCUUUUUUUGGUAAAAACUGUAAUUUUUUUGCACAAACAUAAGCAAAAGAUUAUUUUUUAGUGAGGAAAUGGGAAGUGAAAAGCUGGACUGCCUAAAAACAGAAACAUGUAUACGCAUAGUGCUAAACGGAUCGGUGGGAAGUUAUCCAGGAGUAACGACGGCGGAGAUUCCUGCAUCUGCCAUGGAUUUCGUGUGUGACUGGGGGUAAGCCACUUCACCAAUUUUAUAGAUGUUUUCUGCUCACGUGCAUCCUCUUUUACAUCCUUUUGGCCUGUGUGCUGGGAAGCACACCUAUUUCAAAGAGGAUUAGCACACACCUGCCAUCCAGACAAGCCAAAAGACAGUUUCCAGGCUCAGACAAAAAGUCAGGGAGUCAGGGAGUCCAGCAUCUCCUCUGAACCUGUGAUGGUGCCUGUGCAGGUGCAAGGUUCAUGCAGUUUGACUUUAGUCAUCUGUGAUGUAGGUUUCUCCACCUGAGCUGAUCAGUUCAGCUCCUGUCAGAGUCGAUGGCAGGCACUUUUUGGGUAUGAUUCAUCUCCUCUGAAUGCAGGCAUCUGGGGUGGGAUUCAGCUUCAGAUUAAGACACCCAGCUUUAAAGGUGCAUCUCAUUAAACAUGUCUAGUAUUAUUUCAGAUCUCAAGGUCUGCUGUCUGGCCUCUAG
RNAcentral lists this long non-coding RNA (677 nucleotides) under Struthio camelus australis. RNAcentral's name for it is "lncRNA (ENSSCUG00000017522.1)". Lineage: Eukaryota; Metazoa; Chordata; Aves; Struthioniformes; Struthionidae. The record is from RNAcentral.